AUUAAACGCUGGCGGCAUGCCUUACACAUGCAAGUCGAACGGCAGCACGGGGGCAACCCUGGUGGCGAGUGGCGGACGGGUGAGUAAUACAUCGGAACGUGCCCUGGAGUGGGGGAUAACGCAGCGAAAGCUACGCUAAUACCGCAUAUUCUGUGAGCAGGAAAGCAGGGGAUCGCAAGACCUUGCGCUUUGGGAGCGGCCGAUGUCGGAUUAGCUAGUUGGUGGGGUAAAGGCCUACCAAGGCGACGAUCCGUAGCGGGUCUGAGAGGAUGAUCCGCCACACUGGGACUGAGACACGGCCCAGACUCCUACGGGAGGCAGCAGUGGGGAAUCUUGGACAAUGGGCGGAAGCCUGAUCCAGCCAUGCCGCGUGAGUGAAGAAGGCCUUGGUU
This 392-nucleotide ribosomal RNA is filed under the name uncultured bacterium. RNAcentral describes it as "bacterial SSU rRNA". It matches the Rfam family "Bacterial small subunit ribosomal RNA", at positions 29 to 424 of the family's 1533-position model. The record is from RNAcentral.